This 445-nucleotide long non-coding RNA is filed under the name Gallus gallus (chicken). Lineage: Eukaryota; Metazoa; Chordata; Aves; Galliformes; Phasianidae. The record is from RNAcentral.
CUGCUCCCCAGUGAAAUAAUCCUGACAGAAAGUCUGCUGUAAUUACUCCUGCAAAUAUCCCAACAAUAAUGGAGGGCGUGUGUUCAAGUCGCAAGUAGAAGAGAAGAUUGUAAAAAUUGAAACAGAUCAGAGAGAAGCAUAAGAUGACAGAGAUCCACUCCUGUAGUCUUUUUCCUGGCGAGUAGAGCUCGGCCAACUCGCGGGCCCCGGCGUGCUGCGCUCCCCAGCGCCGGCUGCCGCUCUCGGGCUCUUCCGAGGCCUCGCCGGCCGGCCCCGCCGCCUCCUCCCGCGGCGGGAGGCUCUCCAUGGCACGGCCGCGCGGCUCCGGGCCCCGGGGCGGCGGCUGCUCCUCCUCUGUACCGAUGGGCGACGGCGAGGGGCGCCCAGGGCCCGCCGAGGCGCCCGGCGGCAGCGCUGCGGCCCGCGGCAGCAUCGGGAAAUGGGG